UACGGAAGGUCCGGGCGUUAUCCGGAUUUAUUGGGUUUAAAGGGAGCGCAGGCCGAGAUUAAGCGUGACGUGAAGUGCCGCGGCUCAACCGUGGAAGUGCGUCGCGAACUGGUUUCCUUGAGUGCAUUCGACAUCAGCGGAAUUCGUGGUGUAGCGGUGAAAUGCUUAGAUAUCACGAAGAACUCCGAUUGCGAAGGCAGCUGGCGAGACUGUAACUGACGCUAAAGCUCGAAGGUGCGGGUAUCGGACA
This 250-nucleotide ribosomal RNA is filed under the name uncultured prokaryote. RNAcentral's name for it is "partial 16S ribosomal RNA". It matches the Rfam family "Bacterial small subunit ribosomal RNA", at positions 524 to 774 of the family's 1533-position model. The record is from RNAcentral.